GUUGAACUGUAUCAUACCAGUCUGCAUUUUCCAGACUUCCACCUUCUCUUUCCUUCAGAUUUAUCAGAGAAGUGAUCUUACCACAGAAGGGAUUAGCCAUAUUUUUCCUGCUGUUGUGCAGUCCCUCUCACUGGCAGACACCUUGUGUUACCUGAGUGCUGACAGCGCCUGUGGAAGGGCUUCAGAGUGGGCCUUGUAAAGGGAAAUUUUGGCAAAUCUCUCUGUCACUGCUGGUCCCCCGUGUACUACCCUGUAGGUGCUGCAGACCAGAGGGCAUAGCAGUGGAAGGGGGUAAUGUCUAACACACCAUAACAGCCAUGGUCGAAGCUCAUCUCUCAAAGCCCUCACUGACUUGCAGAUUGGCUUUGGUGCUCAAAACCUCCUCUGAGUUUUCCAGCUCUGCUAGCAGAUACAAUGAAAAAUACUCCCUCCUCCUACAACCCAUUGACCUGGCUGUGUCCUGAGACAUUGCAGCUACAGCAAAAUAUGCUGGAGACCUCGGUGUCUGGUUCUCUUCCAAGAGCAUUUCACCUCAGAUGCCUGGAAAACGCAUAGAUUUGAAUGAGGAGCUUAAAGGACAGUGAAACCCUCAUCACGGCAGACUCAGAGCAUCAGCUGCAGGGAGGGAGAGCAGUACAGCCCAGCUGCACAAUGAUCACACGCUGAUCUCUGCUGUGUUCUGCUGGAGAGCAUUUGCAAGUAAUUCAGAUGCUGGAGUGGCUUCUGUAUUGUAUCUUCUCAAGGGAGGAACCAGAUGAAAGAUGCACAUAUAGCCUCUGUUGUGUUCAUUGGGGUUCUUUAAGUUUGUGUUACUGAACCAUAAACCAGUUGAUCUAUACUUA
Pezoporus flaviventris is the source of this 842-nucleotide long non-coding RNA. RefSeq lists it as uncharacterized. NCBI's taxonomy places the organism in Eukaryota, Metazoa, Chordata, Aves, Psittaciformes, Psittacidae. The record is from RefSeq and is a predicted model, not a curated record. The transcript is spliced from 2 exons.